AAGAGUGCUGGUGCUCCAGCAGCUUAGCUAAUAAUUGACCAGUGUUUCUAAAAAAAAAAUUAUUUUUUUUUAAAUUAUUUUCAUUUUCAUCUGAGACUCAUACUGCCCACAAGAGGUUGCUUCCUUCUCUUUACUGCAUCAGCUGCAGGAACUUUCUCUCUACAGAAACUGCCUUGCUACAUACGGUGAUGAAAACUUGGACACUUAAUAUAGAAAGCUAAAUGCAGGUUGAGAGCCAUUGCUCAAAGUUUAGUUACAUGUAUACAAUAUAGAUAAAAUGUAUUUUUAUACAUACUUAAAUAUCUACGUGUUUCGGGCAUGAUAAUAGAGUCCUAUUUCCUUUUCCCACCUUCCCUCAACCUUGUUAGGCUGAAUGAUUGAGGUUGUGAUUGAAAAUACCGGGAACUACUUCUGCCAAAUAACAAAAAUAAAGAUGUCUCCUGUAUUUGUAAGACCAAAAGCAGUUGUUCAUAAAUGAUCUUUUUAAUUUGUCUUACUCUUUGCCAGGGUUGUGGCAGGCCUUGUUGGAGAGCUGAAUGUGAUUCUUUGAUGACCUUUGGGAAAAUGCAGCAUGCUGUCAUCAAAUUAGCAGGCAAAGAAGAAAUGGAGAAUUAUCAGGCAUUCCUGAUAUCCUGUUUUCCUCUUGGUUUACAAAGAAAACUCAGUGUCAAGGGAACUGAAGACUGGGAUGUGCUGGGCUAAUAUAAAUUUGACCAAAGCCAAGAAUGCCCCUGGUUUGGCUCUGGAAAGAGUACUAAGCAGCCGAGGACAUUUGGAUAGCCAAAUCCAACCCAGUGCGGUGAGCUUCCUAUAUUGUGCUGCAUAUAGCAAUAGCUAUAUACAUAAAUUUUAUUCUGUCUGUCCUAUCCUUAUAUCAUUUUUUUUUAACAGAAGAUAGUCUGCUUUCUGCUAAGUGUCAAAGCAGGGGGACAAUAACUUCGUGUGUAUACAAACUGCAUAUUUUUCUUUUCUAGAAACAGUUUUAUUAUUAUUAUUAUUAUUUUUCCACUGGUUCCCUGCUUUUUAGCCAGAAUUAACUGUAUGGCUCCAGUUUGCCCUGGUCAGGAUGUGGGAAGAGCUAAAUCCAACAUACAGACUGACCUAAAAAAGUUGUAUUGGCACUAAGAGGGAGUCAAUAGGUAAUUUAUUUUGCAACCUAAGUAGAAACUGGGGGGGGGUGUGAAUAAAACGAAAUAAAUUACAACA
RNAcentral lists this long non-coding RNA (1206 nucleotides) under Anser cygnoides (Swan goose). RNAcentral's name for it is "lncRNA (ENSACDG00005002293.1)". The record is from RNAcentral. Lineage: Eukaryota; Metazoa; Chordata; Aves; Anseriformes; Anatidae.